GACGAACGCUGGCGGCGUGCUUAACACAUGCAAGUCGAACGGAAAGGCCUGCUUUCCCUUGUGGAUUGCGGUUACUCGAGUGGCGAACGGGUGAGUAACACGUGAGUGAUCUGCCCCCAACUUGGGUAUAAGCCUGGGAAACUGGGUCUAAUUCCCGAUAGGACUGCAGGGUGGUGCCUGUGGUGGAAAACGAUUUUCUAGUGGUUGGGGAUGAGCUCGCGGCCUAUCAGCUUGUUGGUGGGGUAAUGGCCUACCAAGGCGGCGACGGGUAGCCGGCCUGAGAGGGUGGACGGCCACAUUGGGACUGAGAUACGGCCCAGACUCCUACGGGAGGCAGCAGUGGGGAAUAUUGCACAAUGGGCGGAAGCCUGAUGCAGCGACGCCGCGUGGGGGAUGACGGCCUUCGGGUUGUAAACUCCUUUCGACCGCGAGGAAGCCACCUGGUUGGAAGGGUGGUGACGGUAGUGGUAGAAGAAGCACCGGCUAACUACGUG
RNAcentral lists this ribosomal RNA (494 nucleotides) under uncultured bacterium. RNAcentral describes it as "partial 16S ribosomal RNA". It matches the Rfam family "Bacterial small subunit ribosomal RNA", at positions 28 to 507 of the family's 1533-position model. The record is from RNAcentral.